This 408-nucleotide ribosomal RNA is filed under the name uncultured bacterium. Its description in RNAcentral is "partial 16S ribosomal RNA". It matches the Rfam family "Bacterial small subunit ribosomal RNA", at positions 28 to 526 of the family's 1533-position model. The record is from RNAcentral.
GACGAACGCUGGCGGCGUGCUUAACACCUGCAAGUCGAACGGAGUGGCGAACGGGUGAGUAACACGUGGGUGACCUGCCCUGCACUUCGGGAUAAGCCUGGGAAACUGGGUCUAAUACCGGAUAGUGUGGGAUGGGCCCGGGGCCUGUCAGCUUGUUGGUGGGGUAAUGGCCUACCCAGGCGGCGACGGGUAGCCGGCCUUUGAGGGUGGACGGCCACAUGCAUACUAUUACACAACCCGAACUCUUACGAGAGGCAGCAGUGGGGAAUAUUGCACAAUGGGCGGAAGCCUGAUGCAGCGACGCCGCGUGGUUGAUGACGGCCUUCGGGUUGUAAACUCCUUUCACCAUCGACGCGGUAGAUGGAGAAGAAGCACCGGCAAACUACGUGCCAGCAGCCGCGGUAAUUC